CACGUAGGCACCAAGCGUUGUCCGGAUUUAUUGGGCGUAAAGAGCUUGUAGGUGGUUUGUCGCGUUGUUCGUGAAAUCUCACGGCUCAACUGUGAGCGUGCGGGCGAUACGGGCAGACUAGAGUACUGCAGGGGAGACUGGAAUUCCUGGUGUAGCGGUGGAAUGCGCAGAUAUCAGGAGGAACACCGGUGGCGAAGGCGGGUCUCUGGGCAGUAACUGACGCUGAGAAGCGAAAGCGUGGGGAGCGAACAGG
RNAcentral lists this ribosomal RNA (253 nucleotides) under uncultured bacterium. RNAcentral's name for it is "partial 16S ribosomal RNA". It matches the Rfam family "Bacterial small subunit ribosomal RNA", at positions 524 to 776 of the family's 1533-position model. The record is from RNAcentral.